RNAcentral lists this long non-coding RNA (1048 nucleotides) under Gallus gallus (chicken). Lineage: Eukaryota; Metazoa; Chordata; Aves; Galliformes; Phasianidae. The record is from RNAcentral.
CACUCCUUUUGGAGUCCUUGUGUGAGCCCAGGAUGUGGGAAGUCAAAUACAAGAAGAGCAGCAGAGUCUUGAAGAUCAUUUGGCUGUUUUCCCCAUGCUAGUCCUCACCAAAGGAAAAAUUAACUUCAAGAAGUUAGAUGCAAUGCAUGACAACAACUGGGAUGGAGCCAAGGCAAAUGUUCUAGGCAUAUUGCCUGGAUAUAUUCAGAUUUCAAGGAGGUAGUGUCAACUUCAGUAAGUAUUUGGGCAGAUGCUCGUGGUAUGUUAACGGCUUACUCAGAUCAAAAUCCUGUGUGGCAGACACUGACCUAAUAUCCCUUCUCUCCAAUAAAAACUGUUAGCAAAAACUUCUGUUUCAUAUAAAAAUAAACCUCAAAGUUUUGCAGCAGCAGUAUUACAAGAUAAAGUUUCAGUCCAACUUCCAAUUUGAUAUUACAAAGACCUUAUGUGGAUAUGUACAUUUUCAUAUCUUUGUGUGGGAGAGAAAGUGUGUGUUCCUGCCUGUAUAUAAAAUAAGAUAGUACAUACAAGGUAGUACAUGUAAGUUUAAAAAAUAGUAAUGUUGUACUAUCAAUUUGAAACUGAAAUAAAUAUAACAUAGAAAAAUGUCUUUACCUCAGGAGUAGUAAUAUUUUAUUUUGGACCAAAAACACACAUAAAGCAAUGCUACCAACAAUUAAAUAUGAACUGCAUUUCCUCUUGAUCCCAAGAGAAUAGCUUAACUUUUUGCUAAGGAAUAUAUUAGAAGUGGUCAUGAUGCAGUUUGCAAAUUAUACUUUAAAAGAUAUUUUCACAGUGAGAUUGAAAGGUAUUAAAGACGUUAAUUAUACACAGAUUGUUAUGAUUUCUAGAGGAUAUAAAAAUCAAUUUGGUGAGAGAAUGUGAGGCAAGAGUUGUAGGACAUAUGUCUUAAAUUGCUAUUUAUUUAUGGCUGUCUUAUAUAUGGUUCUAACAUGUGAGAAUUAUAAUCAUUUUCUAAUAUGAGAUUGGUAUGUUAUCCCUUUUUAAAACUGAAAUACUGAGCUUCACUGAAGUCCGGGAGAAUUUU